RNAcentral lists this unclassified non-coding RNA (259 nucleotides) under Hevea brasiliensis (rubber tree). The record is from RNAcentral. Lineage: Eukaryota; Viridiplantae; Streptophyta; Magnoliopsida; Malpighiales; Euphorbiaceae.
AUUGGACAGAAGAGAUUGCUGAUUUCGUCAUCUGUGAUACUAUUUUGAACUAACUGGUUCUCUUCUUCAGUCAAAUCCAAUGCAACCUGCUUAGCGAGAAGCUCUCUUUGAAUGUUACCGUAAGCGAAGAAGGGAUCAUCAGGACCAAAACGUCGACGAGUUGGGCUCCAGAACGGAAACCCUAAUUCGAUUUGCCUAUCAAACUCCAUCGCCAUUAAUUUUGAAUUUCAUUCCCUACCUAUGCUUUUGCCGUUUUGCG